RNAcentral lists this ribosomal RNA (210 nucleotides) under uncultured bacterium. RNAcentral's name for it is "partial 16S ribosomal RNA". It matches the Rfam family "Bacterial small subunit ribosomal RNA", at positions 120 to 334 of the family's 1533-position model. The record is from RNAcentral.
GGGAUCUGCCCGAUAGAGGGGGAUAACUACUGGAAACGGUGGCUAAUACCGCAUAAUGUCUACGGACCAAAGCAGGGGCUCUUCGGACCUUGCACUAUCGGAUGAACCCAUAUGGGAUUAGCUAGUAGGUGGGGUAAAGGCUCACCUAGGCGACGAUCUCUAGCUGGUCUGAGAGGAUGAUCAGCCACACUGGGACUGAGCACGGCCCAG